Molecule: ribosomal RNA, 1241 nt
Filed under: uncultured bacterium
Lineage: Bacteria
Description: bacterial SSU rRNA
Rfam family: Bacterial small subunit ribosomal RNA
Source: RNAcentral
CGGGUGAGUAACGCGUAUCCAACCUGCCCACCACUUGGGGAUAACCUUGCGAAAGUAAGACUAAUACCCAAUGAUAUCUCUAGAAGACAUCUGAAAGAGAUUAAAGAUUUAUCGGUGAUGGAUGGGGAUGCGUCUGAUUAGCUUGUUGGCGGGGUAACGGCCCACCAAGGCGACGAUCAGUAGGGGUUCUGAGAGGAAGGUCCCCCACAUUGGAACUGAGACACGGUCCAAACUCCUACGGGAGGCAGCAGUGAGGAAUAUUGGUCAAUGGACGAGAGUCUGAACCAGCCAAGUAGCGUGCAGGAUGACGGCCCUAUGGGUUGUAAACUGCUUUUAUAAGGGAAUAAAGUGGGAGUCGUGACUCUUUUUGCAUGUACCUUAUGAAUAAGGACCGGCUAAUUCCGUGCCAGCAGCCGCGGUAAUACGGAAGGUCCGGGCGUUAUCCGGAUUUAUUGGGUUUAAAGGGAGCGUAGGCCGGAGAUUAAGCGUGUUGUGAAAUGUAGACGCUCAACGUCUGCACUGCAGCGCGAACUGGUUUCCUUGAGUACGCACAAAGUGGGCGGAAUUCGUGGUGUAGCGGUGAAAUGCUUAGAUAUCACGAAGAACUCCGAUUGCGAAGGCAGCUCACUGGAGCGCAACUGACGCUGAAGCUCGAAAGUGCGGGUAUCGAACAGGAUUAGAUACCCUGGUAGUCCGCACGGUAAACGAUGGAUGCCCGCUGUUGGUAUGAAUAGGUCAGCGGCCAAGCGAAAGCAUUAAGCAUCCCACCUGGGGAGUACGCCGGCAACGGUGAAACUCAAAGGAAUUGACGGGGGCCCGCACAAGCGGAGGAACAUGUGGUUUAAUUCGAUGAUACGCGAGGAACCUUACCCGGGCUUGAAUUGCAGAGGAAGGAUUUGGAGACAAUGACGCCCUUCGGGGCCUCUGUGAAGGUGCUGCAUGGUUGUCGUCAGCUCGUGCCGUGAGGUGUCGGCUUAAGUGCCAUAACGAGCGCAACCCCUCUCCUUAGUUGCCAUCAGGUGAAGCUGGGCACUCUGGGGACACUGCCACCGUAAGGUGUGAGGAAGGUGGGGAUGACGUCAAAUCAGCACGGCCCUUACGUCCGGGGCUACACACGUGUUACAAUGGCAGGUACAGAGAGACGGUCCCUUGCAAAAUGGAUCAAAUCCUUAAAGCCUGUCUCAGUUCGGACUGGGGUCUGCAACCCGACCCCACGAAGCUGGAUUCGCUAGUAAUCGCGC